GAUGAACGCUGGCGGCGUGCCUAAUACAUGCAAGUCGAGCGAACAGAUGAGGAGCUUGCUCCUCUGACGUUAGCGGCGGACGGGUGAGUAACACGUGGAUAACCUACCUAUAAGACUGGGAUAACUUCGGGAAACCGGAGCUAAUACCGGAUAAUAUAUUGAACCGCAUGGUUCAAUAGUGAAAGACGGUUUUGCUGUCACUUAUAGAUGGAUCCGCGCCGCAUUAGCUAGUUGGUAAGGUAACGGCUUACCAAGGCAACGAUGCGUAGCCGACCUGAGAGGGUGAUCGGCCACACUGGAACUGAGACACGGUCCAGACUCCUACGGGAGGCAGCAGUAGGGAAUCUUCCGCAAUGGGCGAAAGCUUGACGGAGCAACGCCGCGUGAGUGAUGAAGGUCUUCGGAUCGUAAAACUCUGUUAUUAGGGAAGAACAAAUGUGUAAGUAACUAUGCACAUCUUGACGGUACCUAAUCAGAAAGCCACGGCUAACUACGUG
RNAcentral lists this ribosomal RNA (497 nucleotides) under uncultured bacterium. Its description in RNAcentral is "partial 16S ribosomal RNA". It matches the Rfam family "Bacterial small subunit ribosomal RNA", at positions 28 to 507 of the family's 1533-position model. The record is from RNAcentral.